GUUUGAUCCUGGCUCAGGACGAACGCUGGCGGCGUGCCUAACACAUGCAAGUCGAACGAGGUCCAUGCAGUGGCAACACUGCGGAAGACCUAGUGGCGAACGGGUGAGUAACACGUGAGGAACCUGCCCCGAAGACCGGGAUAACCCUCCGAAAGGAGAGCUAAUACCGGAUACCCCCACCGGAUCGCAUGAUCUGGUGAGGAAAUGGAUUCCGCUUCGGGAGGGCCUCGCGGCCUAUCAGCUUGUUGGUGGGGUAACGGCCCACCAAGGCAUCGACGGGUAGCUGGUCUGAGAGGACGAUCAGCCACACUGGGACUGAGACACGGCCCAGACUCCUACGGAGGCAGCAGUGGGGAAUCUUGCGCAAUGGGCGAAAGCCUGACGCAGCAACGCCGCGUGGGGGAUGAAGGCUCUCGGGUUGUAAACCCCUUUCAGCAGGGACGAAUCAAGACGGUACCUGCAGAAGAAGCCCCGGCUAACUACGUGCCAGCAGCCGCGGUAACACGUAGGGGCAAGCGUGUCCGGUA
Molecule: ribosomal RNA, 527 nt
Filed under: uncultured bacterium
Lineage: Bacteria
Description: bacterial SSU rRNA
Rfam family: Bacterial small subunit ribosomal RNA
Source: RNAcentral